AUGUUGGGGAGACACCCAGAGCCCAAGCACCUGAGACAGGACCCCAGCGGCUCCACCAUGGACUUGGUGCCAAGCUGCGUUUUCCUCCUGAUCAUUUCUCAAGGUGUUAAGUGUGCGGAGCAGCUGGUGGAGUCUGGGGGAGGCUUGGUGCAGCCUGCGGGGUCUCUGAGACUCUCCUGUUCAGCCUCUGGAUUCACCUUCAGCGACUAUCCCAUGAACUGGGUCCGCCAGGCUCCAGGGAAGGGGCUGGAGUGGGUUGCAUACACUAGUUAUGGUGAUGGUAAUCCCAUAUACUACGCCACGUCUGUGAAGGGCCGCUUCACCAUCUCCAGAGACAACGCCAAGAACAUGUUGUAUCUGCAAAUGAGCAGCCUGAGAGCCGAGGAUUCGGCCGUGUAUUACUGUGCAAGAGACACAGUGAGG
This is a non-coding RNA of Myotis daubentonii (Daubenton's bat), 423 nucleotides long. NCBI's taxonomy places the organism in Eukaryota, Metazoa, Chordata, Mammalia, Chiroptera, Vespertilionidae. The record is from the annotation of a RefSeq genome assembly.